RNAcentral lists this ribosomal RNA (468 nucleotides) under uncultured bacterium. Its description in RNAcentral is "partial 16S ribosomal RNA". It matches the Rfam family "Bacterial small subunit ribosomal RNA", at positions 28 to 507 of the family's 1533-position model. The record is from RNAcentral.
GACGAACGCUGGCGGCGUGCUUAACACAUGCAAGUCGAACGGAAAGGCCCUGCUUUUGUGGGGUGCUCGAGUGGCGAACGGGUGAGUAACACGUGAGUAACCUGCCCUUGACUUUGGGAUAACUUCAGGAAACUGGGGCUAAUACCGGAUAGGAGCUCCUGCUGCGUGGUGGGGGUUGGAAAGUUUCGGCGGUUGGGGAUGGACUCGCGGCUUAUCAGCUUGUUGGUGGGGUAGUGGCUUACCAAGGCUUUGACGGGUAGCCGGCCUGAGAGGGUGACCGGCCACAUUGGGACUGCGAUACGGCCCAGACUCCUACGGGAGGCAGCAGUGGGGAAUAUUGCACAAUGGGCGGAAGCCUGAUGCAGCAACGCCGCGUGCGGGAUGACGGCCUUCGGGUUGUAAACCGCUUUCGCCUGUGACGAAGCGUGAGUGACGGUAAUGGGUAAAGAAGCACCGGCUAACUACGUG